This 305-nucleotide ribosomal RNA is filed under the name uncultured bacterium. Its description in RNAcentral is "bacterial SSU rRNA". It matches the Rfam family "Bacterial small subunit ribosomal RNA", at positions 338 to 641 of the family's 1533-position model. The record is from RNAcentral.
CCUACGGGGCGCAGCAGUGAGGAAUAUUGGUCAAUGGGCGGGAGCCUGAACCAGCCAUGCCGCGUGAAGGCGAGUGCCCUACGGGCGUUAAACUUCUUUUGUGCGGGAGCAAUAAGGGCCACGCGUGGCCCGAUGAGAGUACCGCACGAAUAAGCAUCGGCUAACUCCGUGCCAGCAGCCGCGGUAAUACGGGGGAUGCGAGCGUUAUCCGGAUUUAUUGGGUUUAAAGGGUGCGUAGGCGGUCGGAUAAGUUAGAGGUGAAAUCCCGAGGCUCAACUUCGGAAUUGCCUCUGAUACUGUUCGGC